Molecule: ribosomal RNA, 253 nt
Filed under: uncultured bacterium
Lineage: Bacteria
Description: partial 16S ribosomal RNA
Rfam family: Bacterial small subunit ribosomal RNA
Source: RNAcentral
UACGGGGGGGGCAAGCGUUGUUCGGAGUUACUGGGCGUAAAGGGCGCGUAGGCGGCCUGCUAAGUCGGACGUGAAAUCCCCGGGCUCAACCCGGGAACUGCGUCCGAUACUGGAUGGCUUGAAUCCGGGAGAGGGAUGUGGAAUUCCAGGUGUAGCGGUGAAAUGCGUAGAUAUCUGGAGGAACACCGGUGGCGAAGGCGGCAUCCUGGACCGGUAUUGACGCUGAGGCGCGAAAGCCAGGGGAGCAAACGGG